UGGAAGAGUCAAGAAGAUGGUUUCAAAAGGAAACCCAUACUACAUUCAGGAGGAGCAGAAAUGUAAGUUCUUUGGCAAAUAUAAAUUACUUAAACUUCUAUAUGUCAGUUAUUAAACACUAAUUUCUUUUACUGUCAUUUAAGGUCUUUUAUAGGGAAUUAUUAGAAAUUGUGUUCCCAAAUCCUUAAGUGUACAGAAACUGCAGUUUUUUAAAUGGAAGUAUUCUAGUUAAUGAAGUGCUGAUCAAGAUUCAUGUUAAGAAUAAGAGUUAACAAAAAUGGUUCUUCCUUGACAGGCGAUUACCUAGGCUU
RNAcentral lists this long non-coding RNA (311 nucleotides) under Bos taurus (domestic cattle). Its description in RNAcentral is "long non-coding RNA NONBTAT024444". The record is from RNAcentral. Lineage: Eukaryota; Metazoa; Chordata; Mammalia; Artiodactyla; Bovidae.